CCUACGGGAGGCAGCAGUGGGGAAUAUUGGACAAUGGGGGAAACCCUGAUCCAGCGACGCCGCGUGAGUGAAGAAGUAUUUCGGUACGUAAAGCUCUAUCAGCAGGAAAGAAAAUGACGGUACCUGACUAAGAAGCCCCGGCUAACUACGUGCCAGCAGCCGCGGUAAUACGUAGGGGGCAAGCGUUAUCCGGAUUUACUGGGUGUAAAGGGAGCGUAGACGGCAGCGCAAGUCCGAAGUGAAAGCCCGGGGCCCAACCCCGGGACUGCUUUGGAAACUGUGAAGCUGGAGUGCGGGAGGGGCAG
Molecule: ribosomal RNA, 305 nt
Filed under: uncultured bacterium
Lineage: Bacteria
Description: bacterial SSU rRNA
Rfam family: Bacterial small subunit ribosomal RNA
Source: RNAcentral